RNAcentral lists this long non-coding RNA (519 nucleotides) under Felis catus (domestic cat). Its description in RNAcentral is "lncRNA (ENSFCAG00000046250.2)". The record is from RNAcentral. Lineage: Eukaryota; Metazoa; Chordata; Mammalia; Carnivora; Felidae.
AUGCUGGCUACAGUCUACAGGUGUAGAGGAUACAGGAAGCAUCUCACUCCUGAAGAGCCCAGGAAAGCAUUUAUAGGCAUCCUGGGUAUCUGCUAUUACGGCUCCUUGGAUUCUGUUAGCUCGAUGUCCUGGGAGAUGACUGAGGUUCCCACAGACCAAACUGUGGCACAGCACCAGACAGGUAACAAUACUGAGGUUUUCUCUGUGUCCGUGUGAGGAGAGCAACGGCUCACCCCGAAAUGGAAUGCCCGACGUCUCAGAACUCCUUCAUGCUGCUGGGUCACUGCCACUUCUGUCUUCCUCCAAAAUACCACCUCGUACCUAGAGCAUGGCACCACUAAGCACGGGUAAGAGGGGAGAAGGCAGUGAAGGUGUGUAUGGCACAGUUCCUGCCUCCAGGAGCACACAGUCUCCUGAAAGAAAAGAGAAGCGCAGGAUGUUGAAAUGGGACUCUUGUCUCUCUUUUUGGCUGAGGCACCAAGUCAAUAGAUACAACAGCAAUGACAUUGCAAAGUGAGG